GUGUUUUUCAGUUAAACUUAUGAAGUUUUUUGUUUCAGAUUAUAAAAUUCAGCUUCAUUCUCAUAGACGAACAUUGGAAUAUUUUCUAUAGAGUGAAGCCUUCAACAGUUCUUAUAGUGAAGCCUAUCUUGCUACGUCUGGAGUUUUAUUAGUGAAGUUUAGAACCAAAGUUAAUUAGUGCAAUAUUACAACACUGAUAAUUCAGUGGUUAGUGAAAUAAAUGUAUAACUGUUUGAACUUCAAGACGAAGGUUUGGCUACCCUACUUCAUGACUCAAAGAAAUGUCAAAUUGUUGACGAGAUGAAAGUGAGGUGUUUUGAGGUGGCUGGGACACGUUGAGAGGAUGAGUGACUCAAGAGUUG
Long non-coding RNA from Nilaparvata lugens (brown planthopper), 362 nucleotides. RefSeq lists it as uncharacterized. NCBI's taxonomy places the organism in Eukaryota, Metazoa, Arthropoda, Insecta, Hemiptera, Delphacidae. The record is from RefSeq and is a predicted model, not a curated record. The transcript has 2 exons.